This 450-nucleotide ribosomal RNA is filed under the name uncultured bacterium. RNAcentral's name for it is "partial 16S ribosomal RNA". It matches the Rfam family "Bacterial small subunit ribosomal RNA", at positions 354 to 796 of the family's 1533-position model. The record is from RNAcentral.
GUGGGGAAUAUUGGACAAUGGGCGAAAGCCUGAUCCAGCCAUGCCGCGUGUGUGAAGAAGGUCUUCGGACUGUAAAGCACUUUAAGUUGGGAGGAAGGGCAGUAAGUUAAUACCUUGCUGUUUUGACGUUACCGACAGAAUAAGCACCGGCUAACUUCGUGCCAGCAGCCGCGGUAAUACGAAGGGUGCAAGCGUUAAUCGGAAUUACUGGGCGUAAAGCGCGCGUAGGUGGUUUUGUAAGUUGGAGGUGAAAUCCCCGGGCUCAACCUGGGAACUGCCUCCAAAACUGCAUGACUAGAGUACGGUAGAGGGUGGUGGAAUUUCCUGUGUAGCGGUGAAAUGCGUAGAUAUAGGAAGGAACACCAGUGGCGAAGGCGACCACCUGGACUGAUACUGACACUGAGGUGCGAAAGCGUGGGGAGCAAACAGGAUUAGAUACCCCUGUAGUCC